CUGUUCUGAUAUCUAAGUACCUGGACUUCUUCUGCCUUCUGUAUCCCUUGAGCUUUGUGUCCAAGCAGCUGGAUUGUUCUGGGCUCAGCUAUCCCAUGGCUCCUGCUCUUUUGCCUGCCGCCCUUCCUCUGUGUGUGUGUCUGCUGCUGGCAUCUGGCUCUGCCCAGGCAGGCAAGCUGCUGGUGGUGCCCAUGGAUGGCAGCCACUGGUUUACCAUGCGGUCAGUUGUGGAGAAACUCGUCCACAGAGGGAAUGAGGUGGUUGCUAUCAUGCCAGAGGUGAGUUGGCAACUGGGACAGUCACUGAAUUUUACAGUAAAGACUUUUUCAACUUCUUACACUCUGGAGGACUUGGACCGAAUAUUCAACUUUUUUAUUGACACUCAAUGGAAAACUCCAGAACAAAGUACGUAUAGUCUGGCAAUGGGUUCAUCCAAAGCAUUUUUUGACAUCAGUUUUUCACGGUGUAGGAGUUUGUUUAAUGACAAGAAACUAGUGGAAUACUUAAAGGAGACCUCUUUUGAUGCAGUGUUUUUGGAUCCUUUUGAUGUGUGUGGCCUAGUUGUUUCCAAAUACUUUUCACUUCCAUCCGUAGUCUUUACCAGGGGAGUGUUUUGCUAUUACUUUGAAGAUGGAUUACAGUGCCCUAGUCCUCUGUCUUAUGUUCCCAGAUUUUUCUCAAUGUCUUCAGAUGCUUUGAGUUUCAUGGAGAGAGUAAGGAACCAUCUAUUCUACUUGGAAGAGCAUUUAUUUUGCCCUUAUAUUUUCCAAACUGCCUUGGAAGUUGCCUGUGAAAUUCUCCCAUCACCUGUCACAAUAGGUGAUCUCUUCAGCCAAAUAUCCAUUUGGUUGUUAAGAACUGACUUUGUUUUGGACUAUCCCAGACCUGUGAUGCCCAACAUGAUCUUCAUUGGUGGAAUCAACUGCCACCAGAGGAAGCCACUACCCAAGGUAUGUUGUGUCUCCUUUAGC
Molecule: long non-coding RNA, 971 nt
Filed under: Marmota monax (woodchuck)
Lineage: Eukaryota; Metazoa; Chordata; Mammalia; Rodentia; Sciuridae
Source: RNAcentral